Molecule: long non-coding RNA, 462 nt
Organism: Myotis davidii
Lineage: Eukaryota; Metazoa; Chordata; Mammalia; Chiroptera; Vespertilionidae
Exons: 2
Source: RefSeq, a predicted model, not a curated record
UGGUGUCAGCCAGAUUUUGACUCUACCAUUUCUUGGCUUUUUGACAUAGGCAUAGUAAUUAGACCUCCAGAAGCCUUGGUUUUCUCAUCUAUAUACUAUGAUAAUAAUAGAACCUACAUCUUGAGACUUUUGAGGAUUAAAUGAGAUAUUGGAUGUCCAGUGUUGAGCAUAGUGCCUAGACAUACUAAGUGUUUGAUAAAUGUUAGCUCUUAUUACUAUUACUGUUUCCUUUCUUUUAAGAUCCAUUUACCCCCCACCCCCCAAAACCUUCCCUUGGCAAAAGAAUACCAACGCUAGCAAUUAAAAAACAAGAAACAAAGCAGCAGACUGAUGGCCUUGGUACACUUGAAUUAGCUUUAGCAGAAGAGAUAUGGAGGAGCCAUAGAACAUUAAGGAUGAAUUCAGGAAGACCCGAGACCAUGGAGAACUUGCCUGCUCUCUACACUAUUUUCCAAGGAGAGG